AUCCAGAUGACGAGUCCAGAAUAGGACGAAAUGCGCAUUGUCCUGGAA
RNAcentral lists this non-coding RNA (48 nucleotides) under Trichobilharzia regenti. The record is from RNAcentral. Lineage: Eukaryota; Metazoa; Platyhelminthes; Trematoda; Strigeidida; Schistosomatidae.